RNAcentral lists this ribosomal RNA (785 nucleotides) under Vibrio azureus. RNAcentral's name for it is "bacterial SSU rRNA". It matches the Rfam family "Bacterial small subunit ribosomal RNA", at positions 68 to 857 of the family's 1533-position model. Lineage: Bacteria; Pseudomonadati; Pseudomonadota; Gammaproteobacteria; Vibrionales; Vibrionaceae. The record is from RNAcentral.
GGGGGACGAUAACGGCGUCGAGCGGCGGACGGGUGAGUAAUGCCUAGGAAAUUGCCCUGAUGUGGGGGAUAACCAUUGGAAACGAUGGCUAAUACCGCAUGAUGCCUACGGGCCAAAGAGGGGGACCUUCGGGCCUCUCGCGUCAGGAUAUGCCUAGGUGGGAUUAGCUAGUUGGUGAGGUAAGGGCUCACCAAGGCGACGAUCCCUAGCUGGUCUGAGAGGAUGAUCAGCCACACUGGAACUGAGACACGGUCCAGACUCCUACGGGAGGCAGCAGUGGGGAAUAUUGCACAAUGGGCGCAAGCCUGAUGCAGCCAUGCCGCGUGUAUGAAGAAGGCCUUCGGGUUGUAAAGUACUUUCAGUCGUGAGGAAGGCGGCGUCGUUAAUAGCGGCGUCGUUUGACGUUAGCGACAGAAGAAGCACCGGCUAACUCCGUGCCAGCAGCCGCGGUAAUACGGAGGGUGCGAGCGUUAAUCGGAAUUACUGGGCGUAAAGCGCAUGCAGGUGGUUUGUUAAGUCAGAUGUGAAAGCCCGGGGCUCAACCUCGGAAUAGCAUUUGAAACUGGCAGACUAGAGUACUGUAGAGGGGGGUAGAAUUUCAGGUGUAGCGGUGAAAUGCGUAGAGAUCUGAAGGAAUACCGGUGGCGAAGCGGCCCCCUGGACAGAUACUGACACUCAGAUGCGAAAGCGUGGGGAGCAAACAGAUUAGAUACCCUGGUAGUCCACGCCGUAAACGAUGUCUACUUGGAGGUUGUGGCCUUGAGCCGUGCCUUUCUGAGCUUACC